ACGUUAUAACACGUUACUGCUGCUGUGUGUUUAAAAUACGACUAUUUCGACAAUAGAAAAAAAAAUAGUAAUACUUGUCUUGUAUAAUAAAUAAAAAAUAUAUUGAAAUCAUGAAUAUUUAACUGGACUACCUACCGCAGAAAAUAAUUAUCGGAGAUAUGGAACUUAGAUGUAUAUUCGUGUUUUCGUUAUGGAUCACAACAGCCUGUUCAUUGUACAAAAUUGGUAUCGGAAUUGCAGAUGUAACUGGACCUGCAGUAGGUGUUACUUUUUUGGGGUACGGAAAAGUGGAACAAACUGGAGAAGGAAUUCAUUUGCGACAAUUUUCUAGGGCAUUUUUAAUUGAAGAUUCAACAUCUAGGACAGCGUUUGUCAGCAUCGACUCUGCGAUGAUGGGAGACCAUAUAAAGAAAGAUGUACUGAAAAAAUUGAACGAGAAGUUACCAGGAUUGUACGACACGAAUAACCUUAUGCUUUCGUCUACGCACACACACUCUACGCCGGGAGGUUAUAUGUUACAUAUGCUGUUUGACUUGAGCACAAUGGGUUAUGUUCAACAAACCUUAAACUGUUUAGUAAAAGGUAUUACAUUGAGUAUUCUACGAGCCCACGACAAAUUAGAUUACGGACGUAUAUUUAUUAAUAAAGGUGAACUAAAUGGGAUAUCGAUGAGUAGAAGUCCUCAGUCAUAUUUAUUAAAUCCGGAAGCCGAACGCGCGCAAUACGAACAUAACGUCGACAAGACCAUGGUACAGCUGAGGUUUGAGAGCGAGUCGGGCAUGCCGCUGGGCGUGAUCAACUGGUACGCGGUGCAUGCGACCAGCAUGAACAACACCAACAGGCUCGUUUCGUCGGACAACGUCGGAUACGCAUCGGUGUUGUUCGAGCAAAAGAUGAACCCCGAAAGUUUCAUCGGUAAAGGACGUUUUGUCGCGGCGUUCGCUUCGUCCAACCUGGGAGACGUGACUCCCAAUAUCAAAGGUCCUCGAUGCCAGAAAUCGGGAAAACCUUGCGAUAUUCCCGGGCCUUCGUGUGACGCAAACGAACUGUGCGUGGCAUCCGGACCGGGCGACGACAUGAAAGAGAGCACUAGAAUAAUCGCUCAACAACUGUUCGACAGAGCAUAUGAACUGAUGGUCGGAGAACCUAUCACUGAGAUCAAAGGACCGAUUAAUGCGAUACACCAGUUCGUGGACAUGACCACGGAAGAAGUAGAUUAUACGACGCCCGGAGGACAGACGAUCAAAGGAAAGGGGUGUAAGCCUGCGAUGGGUCAUACGUUUUCAUCGGGUACCAUCGACGGACCAGGUUUGUUCUCGUUUGAAGCCGGCUCCAAAUCUUCGAACAAUCCCCUAUGGGAUAUAGUGACGAAUUUCGUGCCCAAGCCUAGUCCAGAACAAGUUAAAUGCCACGCGGAAAAAUCAAUUUUGAUAUCGACCGGAGAAUUUAAUUAUCCACUGGCUUGGUCACCGAAAAUAGUUUCCACUCAAUUAGCAGUUAUCGGACAAUUGGUCAUAGCUUGUGUCCCGGGCGAGUUUACAACUAUGUCGGGGAGACGCGUGAGAAAAGCUAUUCGCGAUGUCCUUUGCAAAAACUCUUGGUGUACUGUAGUAAUCGCGGGACUUUGCAAUACAUAUAGUGAUUACAUAACUACACCCGAAGAAUACAAGCUACAGCGUUAUGAAGGUGCGUCAACGUUGUUCGGGCCUUACACAUUGCCUAUUUACCUGAAGCAAUACUCAAAACUGGCCAAGGCGUUGUUGAGUGGUGACAAAAAAUUGGGCCCCGGGCCUGAACCGGUCGACCUGAGACCCGAUGUGUGGUCGCUACUGCCGUCUCCUAUGUACGACACUCCAACGUCUCGACACAGCUUUGGAGACUGUAUCGAACAACCACCGUACUCGGCCAGGUGGGGUCAAACGGUUAAAGCGAAAUUUGUUUCCGGCAAUCCUCGAAACAACCCCAUGUUGGAAAUGACGUUUUUGACAGUUGAACGGCUCACGGACGAUUUCAAAUGGGACGUCGUCGCUACGGACGCCAAUUGGGAAACCGAAUUCAUAUGGAAAACAGUUUCGUGGUUUUGGGCCAGCAGCGUUGCAGAAAUUAAAUGGACAAUACCUGAAAACACUACACCAGGGCUUUACCGCAUUAGACACUUUGGGUAUUUCAAAAAUUUUGGAGGGGGCAGGCUCGGAAGAUAUUUUGGCACUUCGGAAACGUUCAAGGUUACGGAAAAAUAGUGCAAACGCAAGAAGGUUUCCUAUAUUCCAAUAAAUUAUUGAAUUUGGUUCAACGACAGUUUGGAUUUAGAAAAUAUUAUAAGAGAACAUUAUGGAACUAUCAAUGGACAGUUUUGUAUCUACGUGACUAAAGUAAUCUAAAAAAAGCUAUAAACGCUCACCAAGCUUGUUAAAAUUGAAUAAAUGAUUAAAACUGGUAUUAUAUUUUUGUUGGUCAUACGCAACCAUAAAAUAGCGAAAUCCUAUGCGUUAUACUUGGCAGUCCAAUUCGCCAUCCAAUCAGACUACAAUUAUACUCUCAUAAUAAGCGACUCUCUCAGUGCCCUGGUCUCACUACAAGAUCAUCACCCUCAAAAUGAAGUAAUCCAAUUAACCAAUGACCUCAUUUCUUCAUCGAAAAACAAUAUUAAGUUUAUGUGGGUCCCUUCUCACAUAGGUAUCCCCGGGAAUGAAAAAUCUGACCAAAUGGCGAAUGCAGCGGUUACAUCCACAACCUCAUAAAUAAAAUCCCAAAUAGAGAUCUUACAAAUGAAGCCCAAAACGGAUUAUAAAAAAAAACAUGGCGAAAUCACUGGGAUUCAAUUCCCGUCAGCAAAAAUCUCAGAAACAUCAAAAAAACUAUGUCCAAAUGGGCAUAUCCUGAGAACGCAACCAGGAAAAAACAAAUAAUUAUAAACGGAGCCAGAUUAGGUCAUUCCCAUAUCACUCACUCAUAUUUGAUAGCCAAGGAGUCCUCCUCCCUCGUGUGACACAUGUAAAACUUCCCUUACAAUGAAACACAUCAUUAUGAUUUGCCCCAAAUACUCAACCGCACGUUGUCUUCUCAAUAAUUCAAGGUCACUUGAAAAAGCCCUCAGUCAACAUAAUUCCGUCAACAUUUUUAAAUUUUUCAAAAAAAUAGAUUUAGAUACAAAACUGUAAAUAUUACAAUUUUUACAUUGUACCCCUACAAUUAUAAGAUAAUGUCUU
Molecule: unclassified non-coding RNA, 3209 nt
Filed under: Rhopalosiphum maidis (corn leaf aphid)
Lineage: Eukaryota; Metazoa; Arthropoda; Insecta; Hemiptera; Aphididae
Description: neutral ceramidase, transcript variant X1
Source: RNAcentral